Molecule: ribosomal RNA, 257 nt
Filed under: uncultured prokaryote
Description: partial 16S ribosomal RNA
Rfam family: Bacterial small subunit ribosomal RNA
Source: RNAcentral
UACGGAGGAUGCGAGCGUUAUCCGGAUUUAUUGGGUUUAAAGGGUGCGUAGGCGGCUUUUUAAGUCAGCGGUGAAAUUUUGCAGCUUAACUGUAACAGUGCCGUUGAUACUGGGGAGCUAGGAUUUGGUUGCUGUGGGUGGAAUGUGUGGUGUAGCGGUGAAAUGCUUAGAGAUCACACAGAAUAUCGAUUGCGAAGGCAGCACACAAAGCCAAGAUUGACGCUGAGGCACGAAAGUGUGGGGAUCAAACAGGAUUA